GAAAACAUUUCCACAGCCCUUAUCCUUUGCAUUAGAUGCUGAACUCCUGGCACUUUUUAAUACUUUUAUGACAAAAUUUUUAGUAAUCUUUGCUUCAUUGGUAGCUGGCUAGAGAAGUAAAUUUGCUGUCUUCUGUAUUUUUCUGAAGAGCGAAAGAGUCGUAACAAAUACUCUUUCAAAAUAUCUCCUUUCACUGAGUAACUAAAAGGCUGCUUCUAUUUUUCUUCUUCAUAUUGGAAACAAGAAAAUAGGUACAGCUCAGGUGGAGGUUUUCCCAGCACUGUUUCUUAUCUUGGACAUCUGGUUCGUCAUGCCUGAAGGAAACUCUAAGCAUAAGGCAAGCGCAGAAUGAUGUUUCCACUGAAAUUGAAUUCAGCAUCUAGGAAACUAUAUGAUGUGGGCACUUUCUGAGCAGGUGGUUAGCUUAUCCUUCAGAUUGUUCAAUGCCCAACAGAAACAGAUGUGAUCCACAAGGAUUCCUGCCAGUACCGAUAGGAGCAACAUUGUGGCCAUAGUUCAUGACCCCCCAUUAGGGAAACAGUUCUUUCUUGUGUGUGAAAAUGCACCUCUUAGAAUUCUUGGGACACUCCUCCAUCUUGACAGGGCAGCCUACUGUCUUGAAUUUCCCAGAGGAGUUGUAUUCAUCCCAAAUUUCCUGUGUUCUGUUAACAAAUUCUCCCUAUUCCCUCUUUUACUGCUAUUCUAUACUUCCUCAAGUGAUGGAAGACUUUAAAGGUAUUUUACUUGUACUGGGCAACGUCCUGCUGAUUUUUCUGCCUUCACAAGUCACUUUUCCCUCAAUCCACUAGGUGAUUUUGGUUGUCUUGCCAAUUGUCUUUACUUUGCUAUACCUUGAAAUACUUCUGUGAUAGCUGUAGAACUACAUAGUGAAUGUCAUCAAGUGCUAUGAAAACCAUCAAAUAAAAAGGAAAACACUGCCUUGUGCGGAUUUAUGAUAUGUGUGUUUUUUUAAAAAAAAAUUAUUUGAUGUUGCUGGCAAAAUUUUAUGGAAAUAUUCUGUUUGUUGUUAUAAUGCUGUGCCCAAUAUGAUCUCUUGAAGCAUCAGGUUUUGAUGUUCAUUCAAAAGCACUACUUUGCAUUAUUCUUCAGGCUUCACAGAUUAAGACUGUAGAAGGUUACUCAGCUUAAACUUCUCUCCUGCAUCUCUGUUUUUCAAAUUGCUGAAAGUGGAUAUGGUCCAUUCAAGUUUUUGAUAUUUUUAGUGAUUUUUUUUCCUACCAUACAUUUCUAAAGUUCAGAGAAUAUGUGGCGUUUCUACUGUCAUCCUUAUGCAGGUUGCUCUUCACCAGUUGAUCUUUUUCUUGUUUUUGUUGUACUUUUCUAUGAUAUUUGCACUUCAGUCUCUUUCCAUUCAAUAUUUCAUAUUCUUUAGUUUUCUUGUUCAUUACAAUUCAGCUAAGCUUAUGAGUUUAGAAUUUUAAUGAAUAAUUCAGUCCUGUUCUGAGCAUUAUACAGGUAUUACUAGGAGUAAGUGUUCACAUUAUUUUCCAGAAUCAAGCCAAUUCUAGUGUGCAGAAUAAAAGUGAUAUGAAUAGACCGAAUCACAAAAUUUAUGCUAAUUUCUGUUGCAACUCAUUCAUGUAGGCCCCCACUGUAUUUUGAUUUGUUUCUUGACUUGAAAAUCUUAAGUAAGGAAAUGAAGAUUGGUUCUAAGCUGAAAUACUUCACAUGAUUACGGACAUAGAGAGCAUUUUCUCGUAUAUCUAAAUGUACAAGGUUGGAAAUGUUCGUUUGUAUACAUGAUACAUAUGUGAUUCUUAGUUCAGUAAAUCUAGCUUAUUUUUAUAAUUGUCUUUAUAACUAAAUUGUUUUUAAGUAAUGAAAUAGGAUAACUGUAGUAGAAGUUAAAUAAAGAAUAGAGAAGUAAAUGUAUUUUAUUUUCCAGCCUUUCAUUAAAUAUUACUAGAUUACAUGUCAUUUGUAAACAGC
Molecule: long non-coding RNA, 1950 nt
Organism: Gallus gallus (chicken)
Lineage: Eukaryota; Metazoa; Chordata; Aves; Galliformes; Phasianidae
Source: Ensembl